GAAGCGAACCGGGAGAACUGAAACAUCUAAGUACCCCGAGGAAAAGAAAUCAACCGAGAUUCCGAAAGUAGCGGCGAGCGAAAUUGGAUUAGCCCUUAAGCUUUACAUGUGUUAGACGAACGGUCUGGAAAGUCCGACGAUACAGGGUGAUAGUCCCGUAGUUGACGAUGCAUGUUCAGUGAAAUCGAGUAGGGCGGGACACGUGUUAUCCUGUCUGAAUAUGGGGGGACCAUCCUCCAAGGCUAAAUACUCCUGACUGACCGAUAGUGAACCAGUACCGUGAGGGAAAGGCGAAAAGAACCCCUGUGAGGGGAGUGAAAUAGAACCUGAAACCGUGUACGUACAAGCAGUAGGAGCACCUUCGUGGUGUGACUGCGUACCUUUUGUAUAAUGGGUCAGCGACUUAUAUUCAGUGGCAAGGUUAACCAUCUAGGGGAGCCGUAGGGAAACCGAGUCUUAACUGGGCGCCAUAGUCUCUGGAUAUAGACCCGAAACCGAGUGAUCUAGCCAUGGGCAGGUUGAAGGUUGAGUAACAUCAACUGGAGGACCGAACCGACUAAUGUUGAAAAAUUAGCGGAUGACUUGUGGCUAGGGGUGAAAGGCCAAUCAAACUCGGAGAUAGCUGGUUCUCCCCGAAAGCUAUUUAGGUAGCGCCUCGGACGAAUACUACUGGGGGUAGAGCACUGUUAAGGCUAGGGGGUCAUCCCGACUUACCAACCCUUUGCAAACUCCGAAUACCAGUAAGUACUAUCCGGGAGACACACGGCGGGUGCUAACGUCCGUCGUGGAGAGGGAAACAACCCAGACCGCCAGCUAAGGUCCCAAAUUACAGCUAAGUGGGAAACGAUGUGGGAAGGCUUAGACAGCUAGGAUGUUGGCUUAGAAGCAGCCAUCAUUUAAAGAAAGCGUAAUAGCUCACUAGUCGAGUCGGCCUGCGCGGAAGAUGUAACGGGGCUAAGUUGUAAACCGAAGCUGCGGCAAUGUUCUUUGAACAUUGGGUAGGGGAGCGUUCUGUAAGCCGUUGAAGGUGUGUUGUAAAGCAUGCUGGAGGUAUCAGAAGUGCGAAUGCUGACAUGAGUAACGACAAGGGGGGUGAAAAACCUCCCCGCCGGAAGACCAAGGGUUCCUGUCCAACGUUAAUCGGGGCAGGGUAAGUCGACCCCUAAGGCGAGGCCGAAAGGCGUAGUCGAUGGGAAACGGG
Molecule: ribosomal RNA, 1201 nt
Filed under: Vibrio vulnificus
Lineage: Bacteria; Pseudomonadati; Pseudomonadota; Gammaproteobacteria; Vibrionales; Vibrionaceae
Description: partial 23S ribosomal RNA
Rfam family: Bacterial large subunit ribosomal RNA
Source: RNAcentral